Molecule: ribosomal RNA, 253 nt
Filed under: uncultured bacterium
Lineage: Bacteria
Description: partial 16S ribosomal RNA
Rfam family: Bacterial small subunit ribosomal RNA
Source: RNAcentral
UACGGGGGGGGCAAGCGUUGUUCGGAAUUACUGGGCGUAAAGGGCUCGUAGGCGGCCAACUAAGUCAGACGUGAAAUCCCUCGGCUUAACCGGGGAACUGCGUCUGAUACUGGAUGGCUUGAGAUUGGGAGAGGGAUGCGGAAUUCCAGGUGUAGCGGUGAAAUGCGUAGAUAUCUGGAGGAACACCGGUGGCGAAGGCGGCAGCCUGGACCGGCAUUGACGCUGAUGAGCGAAAGCCAGGGGAGCAAACGGG